This 419-nucleotide RNase P RNA is filed under the name Bacteroidota bacterium. RNAcentral's name for it is "RNase P RNA component class A". It matches the Rfam family "Bacterial RNase P class A". Rfam says of the family: Ribonuclease P (RNase P) is a ubiquitous endoribonuclease, found in archaea, bacteria and eukarya as well as chloroplasts and mitochondria. Its best characterised activity is the generation of mature 5'-ends of tRNAs by cleaving the 5'-leader elements of precursor-tRNAs. The record is from RNAcentral. Lineage: Bacteria; Pseudomonadati; Bacteroidota.
AUUGCAGACUAUUCUGUCGUCGUCUCCCGGUUUAACCGGGGGAGGGAGGAAAGUCCGGGCAACAAAGAGCAGCUUGCUUCCUAACGGGAAGAGGUUCAGCAGGAAUGCUGGAUUAUGGAAAGUGCCACAGAAAAGUAAACUACUUUGAAGUUCAGCGAGCUGGACUUCAAAGAAAAGGUGAAAACGUGCGGUAAGAGCGCACGCUGCAGUUGGCGACAAUUGCAUUGGUAAACCCCAGGCGUUGAAAAACCAAAUAGGUCCCGCGGAUGAAACUGCUCGUUUUUAUUCGCUUCGGUGAAUCGCGGGAUGGGUAGGUUGCUGGAGGCCGUGCGCGAGUGCGGUCAUAGAGAAAUGACAGAAUACUUUUCCGACUAGUUCGGGGGAGGAUACAGAACCCGGCUUACAGGUCUGCAUUUUUU